RNAcentral lists this transfer RNA (67 nucleotides) under Potamotrygonocestus sp. MZUSP 7996. RNAcentral's name for it is "tRNA-His". Lineage: Eukaryota; Metazoa; Platyhelminthes; Cestoda; Tetraphyllidea; Onchobothriidae. The record is from RNAcentral.
AAACUGGUAGGUUAUUUAAACUGACAAAUUGUGGUUUUGUUGAUUACAUUUUAAUUAUUUUUUGUAU